RNAcentral lists this ribosomal RNA (458 nucleotides) under uncultured bacterium. Its description in RNAcentral is "partial 16S ribosomal RNA". It matches the Rfam family "Bacterial small subunit ribosomal RNA", at positions 338 to 795 of the family's 1533-position model. The record is from RNAcentral.
CCUACGGGAGGCAGCAGUGAGGAAUAUUGGUCAAUGGGCGAGAGCCUGAACCAGCCAAGUCGCGUGAGGGAGUACUGCCCUAUUGGUUGUACACCUCUUUUGUCGGGGAGCAAAAGCCGGACGUGUCCGGCUGUGAGAGUACCCGAAGAAAAAGCAUCGGCUAACUCCGUGCCAGCAGCCGCGGUAAUACGGAGGAUGCGCGCGUUAUCCGGAUUUAUUGGGUUUAAAGGGUGCGCAGGCGGAUUUUUAAGUCAGCGGUCAAAUCGUGGGGCUCAACCCCAUCCAGCCGUUGAAACUGGGGAUCUAGAGUGUGCGAGAGGUAUGCGGAAUGCGUGGUGUAGCGGUGAAAUGCGUAGAGAUAUGGAAGAACACCAGUGGCGAAAGCGGCUCUCUGGUCUGUAACUGACGCUGAGGUUCGAAAGCGUGGGUAGCAAACAGGAUUAGAUACCCUUGUAGUC